This is a non-coding RNA of Cyanistes caeruleus (blue tit), 458 nucleotides long. NCBI's taxonomy places the organism in Eukaryota, Metazoa, Chordata, Aves, Passeriformes, Paridae. The record is from RefSeq and is a predicted model, not a curated record.
ACUUAGAAUUUGUAGCCAACUACAUCCACAUUCAUUUGAAUGUCUCUUAGAAAUAAUGAAAACUGUGACUGAAAUAUAGGUCUUUGGUGGUUACUGCCAUAAAAGAAAACAUAAAAAAGGGAGGAAAGAUGAGUUUACAAUGAAACUCUAUUGUAUUUGAUUCUGGGCCAUGCUGACUACAUUAUUAAAGCACUUUUAAUAUUUAGGCCUUAAGGAAAAGAUAAAUUUCAGCGCAUCAGUGAUGAAAUACAUUUCAACACAAGGCAUUAGAAGAAGACUUUGGAUGUACUCACCUGGACAUCCAGGACAAGUGCAACUACAAACAGCAAUGACCAAGACUAUCAGAUGUGAUGUGAUAUCCAUUUAUGAUGUCACAACAAACUUGGGAGCAAUGCCAACAGCAAAUGACCCCAACAACCAGAAGAAAAUCCUCCUGCAAAACAUGCCCAGGAUAGUAA